Long non-coding RNA from Numida meleagris (helmeted guineafowl), 8974 nucleotides. RefSeq lists it as uncharacterized. The record is from RefSeq and is a predicted model, not a curated record. The transcript is spliced from 5 exons. Lineage: Eukaryota; Metazoa; Chordata; Aves; Galliformes; Numididae.
UACUGCAGGCAAAUGGCUUACACAGGAGGUCCUGAGCUCUGAGCACAGAGACCAGCAUGUGCCAUUUAACUCCUAUCGUGUCACUUUUAUGGCAGCUUCUGGUGGUGUUCCUGUGUCUGGCCUUGGUCACGAUUUGAUGGGCCUGGUAACUGGUGCUAAUCCUUGAGCUAUGCAGCCUCAAAGAAAGGGCUUUGCUUCCCAUGCUUCUGAAUGGACAUUCUGAUCAUGGUGGUGAUCAGAGCACUCUGAGUCUGGCCUAAGCACAGACAUGGGAUGCAGAGUGUUCUGAGCUUCACUGUCCUCAGUACAGUGCUCCAAAUCUCAGAGCUGGUGGCUCCAGCAUGGAUCUGUCAGUUUCCAGAGCAGACAUCCGGCAGAACUGCCAUUCAAGAUUUGCUGCCAAUGUUGGAGUGUACUUGAAGCUACAGAGAGAACCUCCUGUCAAGGAAGACAUGUAAGAUGCUAUGAUUCUGCUUGGAGCUGGUUCACACUCCUCAACUGGUGAACACGAUGAAUUUUUUUCAAGAUGACAGCUUGUCUUGGAAAAGUAGAACAGCAGAUGGGAAGGGAGGAGCACCCUCCCUGGCAGAUCUGAUCACUGUGCUUACUGAGAUCUUUAAAACAUGAUGAGGAAAACCGACCAAACCAUUCCCUUUGCUUCCAGAUUGAGUAAGAUGUCAAUUGGCAUGAACAGAUAAUUGGAUUUCUACUUUUACUGCCAGCACUCCCAGAAAAAAAAGAAGUGCAAAGAAAGAAUUCAAGGGAAACAGUGAGAUUUGUCACCCUCUCCAUCAUUACUCAAACUUUCACAGCUAGUGGAAUUAUCAGGAGGCUGAAAAAUAUACAGGAGAGGCGAUUUGCUAGCUGUGUGUGACUGAACUGGGUUAAGGAAGAGUGUACAUUCUGUGUAGGAGCACCCAGAGCUGAGAAGACAUUGCCCAACAAAACUGAAAGAAGCUUGGUUCCCAAUGUGAAAGCCACAGACUUGGAAUAUCUGAAGGUCUUUUAAUACUUCAGUACUUCUAAAGAAGGCUGGAAUACGUGGAGAUUUGUGUUUUAUGGUUGAAUUAUCCAAUUCACUUAUGCUUGUGCAGAUCGCUAUAAUGGUGCAAAAUGAGAGUAGGAUGUAACCUAUAUGAGUGUAAACACCUAUCUACAGCUUUGGACAAUAGGGAGACAGCUUGAGGUUGCUCUCAGCCAGUGUUUCACUUGUGAAUAGGAGAAUGAACUCUGUUGAAAAGUCUGCUGGAUACAUGUAGAUAUCUUUCUGGCUUUUCGGAAGGGCCUUCAGACAAUGUUAGUACCAGCAUCCACAAGCAUGCAAGCAUUAUCGUGAAUCAGAGGUAUUUAAGGCCUAUAUGUUCUGAAUGUUAAGGGAGACAAAAAAAAAAAAAAAAAAAGCAGGAGAGCUGUUUAGGGAUCACAAAUGGGGCAGAAAGGUAUGGAAGUAUGAGGAGAAAGUAUAGCCAACUAUGCAAAAGAGGAAAGUGGGAGCAGAAAGCAAGCCACCAGGACCUCACUGAAAUGGAACUGUAGGUAGCCUAAUGCAAAUGUAGCCUCUUCACUUUUCAGCUACCUAUGUAAAGAUAUCUCUAUGUGCUAGAUCCAGCAGUACAUUAACAAAGAACUACAUGAAGUGCUGAAAAACUGGAAGGGGUUUUUUUUUUUUUUGCAAGAGUUAAUGGACAGGACUAGCAGUGAUAAUUCCAGUGUAGAAUGACCAGAGAACAACAACGAACUUUGAACUGAAUUAAGAGAAUAAGGCUCUCUGCGCUGGGAAUCUGAAAGCAAAUGAAACAGAAGAAAUCACGCAUUACUGAUAAGUUGUCAGUAAGUGAGAAAAUAGUUUCUGUAUGGCAGAGCUGUGUCACUACUUGCCAAGCUGGACAACUGACUGAAUCUGUCAUCUCUAACUUCCUUCACAGUUCUUCCCAUUUUCUCUUUGACUGCCAAGAUGCUAGCCGGGAUCCCAAGCUGCUUGCUCAGAGAAAGAUCUGCACUGCUUCUGCCCACAGGCACAAACAACAGAUGAACUCUGCUCUACUUCAGUGUUGCCCGAGAGCCCUUUUUUGACUUUGAUAAUCCUCAUAGCUGUGCUGUUGCCAGGACUAUUGCUAACAUAGGAAAGGCGUGCUAUUUUUCAGCUAACCUGUCAUUAACCUUCUUAAUGAAAUAGAAAUUGCUAUUUUAUUGAGGAAACUCUAGAUUUUACAUGGGAUUUCAUACCCUUUCCUUUCCUGGCUAAGAUCCUUCCAUGAACUGGAUGAUAAGAAUAUGAUCUUUAAGAGAGUAAAUACCUUCAGAUCUACACCAGAAAACCCAGACUACUGGUCAUGUUGUACAGAUGAGCUGUAAGCUUUCCAUACCUUGUGGCUUCUGGUGUUAGUCAUCUGCCUCUGCACUCUGUUUUGCCCAUAGAAGACAGAACGUGCAUAUUAUGCAAAUUUGUUCUAAUUAUACUUGUAGAAGCAGCUGUAACAAAAGCAAAUGGAGUACAUUUGCCCUCCCUUACACAGGACUUUCUGCCUUGUUCACCUAGUGACUUGCUGAUACCCAGGGCAGCAUGAGAGCAGUAUGUUUGACGCUAAACUCUUGAGUCAUUUGUGAACUAACUGACUUCAUUGAAAUUGAGGAAUAUUUUCCUUUCAAUAGAUUUUGAUAGAUCAAAACUUUUAUAGAAAUAAAAAUGCUAAGGGAGGAUACUUGCCACAGACUUUGAUCAAUAGCUUUUGGCAGUGACACAGUCUCCUCCUACUUUGAACUUUGCGCAUUUCACUGAAGUUUACCAAACCAUCUUUCUAAUUGUGACUCAUGAGAGUUUAGCAUUCACAAGAAAAGGGUCAUUAUGUCUCUAAGUGAUGCCCAGACUGAAGGAUUUUUGACAUUGUCCUGUAGUUAAUUUGGGAGACGUGGUUAACCUGUGUUGCUUGUGGUCAAUAUGGAAUGUCUUUACUGAGAUGUUCCAGGUGUUAUCUCAUUCUGUCUCAUGCCAGGGGCACUGUAUUGCAUUUUUGGAAAAUCUAAUUUCCUGUUUCACUUUAGUUCCUGUUUUAUACUGGACAAGAUUCCACUUUGGACAGCUCUGAUGGCAGUGACAUCACUACCUUAGACUGCUCCCAUGGAAGUCUGUGUUACUUUGAAUCCUCCAUUACACGAGUUGGCCAUUCAGUUUAGGAUAAUGAAAUGAAGAAUAAUGUUAAUUUUGUUAUGAUGCAGCAGACAACGAGGAGGAAGUAACAUAGUCCGCACUGACCAGCAAAAGCAGAGCUCUGCUUCAGCACCUAUCCUUCAGCUUCACUACGAAAAACAGAUAUGAAGCCCUUACAGCAAUAGACACCCAUGACACCCAGGAGCAAGAUCUGCAAGAAGAAACCAUGUCAGCAGCCUGAUUAAAAAAAAAAAAAAAAAAAGAAAGAAAGAAACUCUGUGUGCUUUUAUGGGUGACUCCCUGUUAAAAGGCACUGAGGCUCCCCUCUACUGGGCUGAUAGGGAGCCUCUAGAGGUUUGUUGCCUCCUGGGGGCCAAGACCCAGGAUACUGCCACGAGUACUGCACCUUGUAUACAGCAUGGACAGCUGCCCACUAUUGCUCUUUCUUGGGGCAUGAAUGACAGAAGAAACCAGAACAUGGGCAGAAUAAAAAAAGACUAUGAAGCCCCUGGAGAACAAUUAAAAACAACUGGUGCCCAAGUUAUCUUCUCAAUUUUGCCAGUUGAAGGGAAGAGAAGAGCCAGAAAUAGACAUAUAAUGUGUGUGAAUUCCUGUCUACAUGGCUAGUGCUGAUGUGAGGGUUUUGAUUUUUAUGACACUGGGACUGUCUAUGAAGAUUAUAACCUGUUACGAAGGGAUGGGAUCUACCUGUCUAGAUAAGGCAGGGCAAUCAUUGGCAGCAGGCUGGGAAACCUAGUGAGGGAGACAUUCAGCUGAAGGACUUGGGGGUUGAGGUUGAAAAUUGCAAUGCUCAUGCCAUUAUAAUUGUGCAGGGAAUGAGCCAGGCCAACCAGAACAAUGCCAAAUGUUCCUUAGCUGCAUCCCAUGGCAGGAGCCAGAAGGCUAAGCUGCCUCAAGGCUGUGUAUAGCUACAGGGGAUCCUCUUGAAUCCCUCUAGGGAUACCUGUACCCUCUGAUCCCUUUUCUUCUCUAAAGUGUCUGUAUAACAGUGCAUAAACAGGAGCAGAUAGAGAUCUGUGUGAGGUUACAAGGCCAUGAUUUCAUUGUCAUGAUGGAGACAUGGCUAAUAUAGGUGACACCUUUGUGGAUUUUUACUACAAACCCCUUGAUCAGGAGGAGGAAGUUGAUGAGGCCUUCUGAUAACAGCUGAAAGUAGUCUCACAAUCACAGGUGCUGAUUCUAAUGGGGGUCUUCAAGCACUCUGAUUGUUGCUGGAAAAGCAACACUGCCAAGGACAUGCAGUCCAGGAGGUUUCUGCAAUGAGAUGAAGAUAACUUUUUGUGGCAGAUGGUGGAGGGGCCAAUGAGGAGAGGUGUGUUGCUGGACCUUGUUCUUACUAACAAGGAAGGGCUGGUUGGUUAUGCGAAGGUUGGGAGCAGCCUGGGAUGUAGUGAUCAUGAGCUAGUGAAGUUCAGGAUCUUGCAUGCAUAAAGCAAGGCAAUAAAUAGGAUUGCAACCCCGGACUUCAGGACAGCCAGCUUUGACCUUUUUGAGGACUAGCUUGGAGGUAUCCCAUUGAUUAGAGCAUUGGGAGGUAAGGGGGGCAAGAGAAUGAAGCUCAAGAUCAGCGCAUCCUUGAGAGUAAGAAAUCCUGAAAAGGUGGUAGGAAGACUGCAAGAAUAGGCAAGGAGCUUGUGGAAAAACUCAAAUGGAAGAAUGUCUAUGCAACAUGGACAGGUGCCUGAGUACUGGAGGAAAGCCAGUGUCACUCCAGUCUUCAAAAGAGCAAGUAGGAGCCAGGAAAAUCCAGGCUAGUCAACCUCACCUCCAUCCCUGGGAAGGUGAUCGAGCAGUUCAUUAUAGAUAUCAUCUCCAAGCAAGUGGAAGAAAAGGAUGUUAUCAGGAGUAGUAAACAUGGAUUCACUGAGGAGAAAUCAUGCCUGACAAGGCUCCCCAGUUCAAGAAAGACAAGGAACAUCUGGAGAGAGUCCAGUGGAGGGCCACGAAAAGGAUGAGUGGCCUGGAGCAUCUCCUGUAUGAGGAAAGGCUGGGAGACUUGGGGCUGUUUAGCCUGGAGAAGAGAAGACUGAGUGGAGAUUUUAUCAAUGCUUAUUAAUAUCUAAUGCGGACAUGUCCAGCCCACUGCUCACAGGCCACAUACAGCCUGGCCCAGCCCACCCUGCUGCUGUUCCCUGCCCUGCACCAUCAUGAUAGUGGCUUGUCCUCGUUCACAACAACCAAACAUCAGUGUGCAAUUGCCACCAUUUGCCCAGAAACCCGGGAACAGGGAGGGCUCAGUGCAGUGCUGUCUCAAGUUAUGGCAAAUAGUUGUAUGCAUUUUAGUACACUGGCUAAACAGAGUCCUGUGAACUGUGAAAAAUAUGCAGCUGUGCUUUUGGUUUUGAUAAAGGAAUUUAAAUAAGUUUCAAGGUUGUUGAAAAAAAAAAUUUUUUUUGUGUAUUUGUGACUCCAUUUUCAGUCAACAUAAAUACAUUAUCUGCCAAUUCCCAGAUAAAAUGUAUAGAGUUGCAAUCAGAUUCAACCAAAAAUUUGAUCAUGUAUGUCUCCUUGCUAAACUUUGAUAUGUCCUAUCAUAGAGGAAAAAAAUAUCCCUCACUUUACAGUCAUGAGGGAGGUGGAGGGGUAGUGCUGAGUUCUGCUCUCUGGUGACAGUGACAGGACCCAAAGCAAUGGCAUGGAGCUGUGUCAGGGGAUGGUCAAAGGAGUGUUUGAAGAGGAGUUUCCGUACUUAAACAUAUGCAGUAAAUAGCAGUGUCUCAGACCAGAACAUACAAACAGGCUUCCAGAGAAGCUGUGGGUGCCCAUCCCUGAAGGCACUCAAGGCCAGGUUGGAUGGGGCCCUGUGCAGCCUGAGCUGGCGCGGGGCAGCCCUGCCCACAGCAGGGGGGAUUGGGGCUGGGUGGGCUUUAAGGUCCCUUCCCAUCCAAGCAAUUCCAUGGUUCUAUGAUUUUUACUGUCUGAAUCAAGCUGGAAUAUUUGCUUGUUGCCUGCAGCCCUCCUACUGAAAGAAAACUUUUUUUUUCUUUUGGAGGGGGAGGAGGAGACAGCUGUAUUUUGAUAGUAAAAUAUAAUGUCUUCUGAAUUAUUAUUCUGUGUUCUUUUUUUUCUCACUGUGAUAGGAAAAGUCUGGGUAAUGUAUACAUCUUUGGGUUUAACAGCUCAAACGCAUUACAACUAAAGAAAAGAAAAAUCAAAGAUCAUAAACAGCACAUAAUAUAUCAGAUGUGGAGCGCUUUCAGCCUAGUGAUCAUCUUUAAUGCCUCCAGAAGAGAUUUGUGACAUAGUGUCAGGAUAGACUCAUCAACACAGAAAAGCUCACCAUAUUUCUAAAGUUAAAAAGUAAAGAAAUAGUCCCUUCAAACUUUUUAAAAGCAUUCAUUAAUGUUGAAUUUUUCACAGAACUGAAAGACCUUGUAAAUGGUUACUUGACAUAACUGUAAGCUAGUGAUGAGUACAAAGUGCAAAGAAACCCCCUAUCAGAGCUGGAUGACAAGCUAAAUGCAAACUGCUAGGAGUUCAUUCCUCCUAAAUGCAUUGAAAAUUGUUCUUUAGGAUUCGAAAGUCAAAAUCUGACACUUCUAUGACCAAAAUCAAAGAAGGAAACAUCACUUUGCCUUUCUGAAAUCUGUAAAAAAAAGGAACUUCACUAAAAUCAAUUUCUUCUGACAAGUGCUUGUUUUAUCUGAAAAAGCUCUCAUUUAUUUAUCAUCUCUGUAUUGAAGGGUUUGCUUGCAGUUAAGAAAUGGCUUUAAGAUUCUUCAUUCUAUCUCUUUAACUGUAAGGUCAAUCUCUGGUAUGCCAAGUACUUACCGUACCACAGGGAGCUGGAGCUUGUUUCAGAAAUUCACAAGAAAUUCAACACACUUGCUAUGACCAGCUUUUUCUGAUUGUUUGAAUGUGCUGCAAUUUUGCCACUAAUAGCUUGGAACUGGAAUUUUCCAUUUAUGGUGAAUGUUACUGCUACGCAAAACCUCAGACUCACAUCAGAACAAACCUUUAUUAUUUUCUAGUUCAGUAUGCUGAUGCUUCUUUUAUUACUGGGAGUUGGAGGGGAGAAGGGUUUGGGGGAGGUGUUUACAGUCUAGGAGAAUUCAGAGUUGCACAGAAAUAAUUUCAGUUCCCUUUUGUUUUAAUGUAUCAAUCCUUAAGUGUUUCUGUUAGGAGAAAAAUAAUUUUCUGAAGCAUAUGCUGAACUACAUCCAUUCUCCAUUUGGGAGAGUUGUUUUGACUCCCUAAGGAUGAUGUGGUACUCUUUCUCUUCCAGCCUGCUGUGAGAAGAGAAAACCCUGCACACCUGGAACCCAAGAGAACUGCAAAGGAAAGCUCAGUGCAAUUCUUUGGUAUGGAGAGACCUUGUAAAUACCAACAGUAUCAUAUUCAUAAGGGUGAAAACUUCAGCUAAAACAGGAAUCUUCAUACCCCAAAUAUGAGGAAAAAAAAAAAAAACAACAACCCCUAACAUUUCUAGAUGUCAUAAUAUAAAAGAACAGCAGCAAAAGAGAACCUUCAUGGAGGUUCAGAUUUUCAGGUGACGUCUUUGACAAAGGGGCAGCAAUUUAUGUGCUGACAUUUGUAACUUUGUAUCUAUCUUUAUAUCUAUCCCUAUCUAUUUGUCUGUCUAUCUACCUGUCAACUAUCUUCAUUUUCAGCUUUACUGUCAUCUAAGCCUGUUAUCUUUAACUACACAAGCGUGUGUAUUCAUAUGCCUGUACACUGCGCUGUUGAGCAGAAACCAAAGAACAGACUUGACUUGGGACACCAAUUUCUGUUGCCAGGAUACACUCUGACUUCCUGUCUCUUCAGAUGCUGCCUGCGAGUUUUCUUGUCUUGAAGGUCUCUACAACAUCAAGUACAGAUACUGGAUUUAGGAUACAGUUGUAACCUAAGUGUUAGGAAGCCUUGACUACAAACUGACCACGUUGCAACAUGCCCAUGGGUUAUUCUGCUAUACAAUCUUUUACAUUUGAAUACCUGCAUUUGAGUCUGGCUUUGUGUGCAGAACAAUUUUUUAUGCCUGGGGGCAUCACCCAACAUGAUGAUGAAGUGUGAGCUGAAAGUUCUGCAUUGGCUGUUCAAUGGAAGAAGAGGGCUUGAGGGAGCAUUGCUGAUUAGGCAAGGGCCUUAGCAUGACCUACAUAUAGAGUGGGCAGGAAUAACACCUUCUGACUUCUCUACAGUUUAUAUCUUUUGUUCUUCUUGAGCAUUUUGAGGUUGAGGAGAAAGAAGCACAUAGAAGAAAGGUUUUUUUUUCUCAGGAGGCUGACUACCGUCUCAUAGAAUCAUAGAAUUAGCUAGGUUGGAAAAGACCUACAAGAUCAUCCAGUCCAACUGUUGUACCUUCUGAAACCUUCCGAAAGAGGAUACAUAAAGGUGCGAAACAGGGUUAAAGAGCCCAGUGAACUUGAACUUGCUCUGAGUGCUACUACCAGAGCCGAAAGCCGUGAGGCAUCAUGGCACAUCCUGCUUUGGAUGGGCUGCUACAUACAAUCUUGCAAAUUAACAAACCUAGGAAACCUUGCAUAGGUGGACAACAGUUCCAUUCUUGUCUGUGGAGAAACAGGAUUCAUAUCAAUGGCUGGUGUUCGUACUGAGUUUAUGUGGCAAUGUUUUGGCAGUGGGAGUGCAGGGCAGCCUCUGUGAGCAGCAUUGUUCCAGCAGGGCCCCGUGCUACAGUGCCGUGUUGGAGCAGAGGGACUGGGGAUGAGUGGCAGAGACGGAGCGCUAUGGACUGAGCGCAGCACCCUUUGCACAUUCCCAUGUGCUGCUUGGGGGGAGGUAUGAAAGGGUGGGAAGGGGAAAGGUGGUUUUAGUUUGUUUUCAGUGCUCUCUGCACUAGUCCAUUAG